Molecule: ribosomal RNA, 468 nt
Filed under: uncultured bacterium
Lineage: Bacteria
Description: partial 16S ribosomal RNA
Rfam family: Bacterial small subunit ribosomal RNA
Source: RNAcentral
GACGAACGCUGGCGGCGUGCUUAACACAUGCAAGUCGAACGGAAAGGCCCUGCUUUUGUGGGGUGCUCGAGUGGCGAACGGGUGAGUAACACGUGAGUAACCUGCCCUUGACUUUGGGAUAACUUCAGGAAACUGGGGCUAAUACCGGAUAGGAGCUCCUGCUGCAUGGUGGGGGUUGGAAAGUUUCGGCGGUUGGGGAUGGACUCGCGGCUUAUCAGCUUGUUGGUGGGGUAGUGGCUUACCAAGGCUUUGACGGGUAGCCGGCCUGAGAGGGUGACCGGCCACAUGGGGACUGAGAUACGGCCCAGACUCCUACGGGAGGCAGCAGGGGGGAAUAUUGCACAAUGGGAGGAAGCCUGAGGCAGCAACGCCGCGUGCGGGAUGACGGCCUUCGGGGUGUAAACCGCUUUCGCCUGUGACGAAGCGUGAGUGACGGUAAUGGGUAAAGAAGCACCGGCUAACUACGUG